GCAGUAGCCACGGUAAUACGAGGGGUGCAAGCGUUAUUCGGAUUGAUUGGGUGUAAAGAGUGUGCAGACGGCUUAUUAAGUCACUUGUUAAAUUCUUCGGCCUAACUGAAGGUCUGCAAGUGAUACUGAUGAGCUAGAGGGUGGAAGAGAGAAGUGGAAUUCUCGGAGUAGCGGUAAAAUGCGUAGAUCUCGAGAGGAACACCAAUGGCGAAGGCAGCUUCUUGGUCCAUUCCUGACGUUCAUACACGAAAGCGUGGGGAGCAAACAGGAUUAGAUACCCCCGUAGUCCCUGUCUCUUAUAC
Molecule: ribosomal RNA, 302 nt
Filed under: uncultured bacterium
Lineage: Bacteria
Description: partial 16S ribosomal RNA
Rfam family: Bacterial small subunit ribosomal RNA
Source: RNAcentral